AUGAUUUGCAGCAAAUGAAUAGCAGUGAAGGAGGUAAAAGAUUCAACAUCACCAAAGUCUUUGAUGUUCUUUGUUCCCAAGAUCUCAAGCAGCUUGAAAGUAAGACCUGGAACACUUCUCCAAGGAUACAUACACCACAAGGGAAUCCAAAUGUAGACACACAGGAAUGGCCAUGUUGAUUCAUGGAUUAACAGCCAGCCUGAAAGUCAGAAACAUCUACAUUCAAGUCUUCAACUCUGACACAUAUUGACUAUGCAACCUCAGGGCAAUGACUUCAUGUCUCACUUUCCCCCAGUCACUCUCUAAGACUUGAAGUUGUAAAGAAGGUGCUAAUUUGCAUUAGUAGAAAAAUUUUCCUCUACCAAGGAAAUUAGAGUCUAGUGUCUACUUUUUUCCUUUUGUAACUUUCCCUUGUAAUAUAGAAACUUCUCUCCUUAGUGAAAAUGUCAACU
RNAcentral lists this long non-coding RNA (452 nucleotides) under Monodelphis domestica (gray short-tailed opossum). RNAcentral describes it as "lncRNA (ENSMODG00000040924.1)". Lineage: Eukaryota; Metazoa; Chordata; Mammalia; Didelphimorphia; Didelphidae. The record is from RNAcentral.